GACGAACGCUGGCGGCGUGCCUAAUACAUGCAAGUCGAACGAACCGCGACUAAGUGCUUGCACUAAGUCAAGGUGAGUGGCGAACGGGUGAGUAACACGUGGGUAACCUACCUCAUAGUGGGGGAUAACAGUCGGAAACGACUGCUAAUACCGCAUAGGACAUAGGAUCACAUGAUCCAGUGAGGAAAGGUGGCGCAAGCUAUCGCUAAGAGAUGGACCCGCGGUGCAUUAGCUAGUUGGUAGGGUAAAGGCCUACCAAGGCGAUGAUGCAUAGCCGACCUGAGAGGGUGAUCGGCCACAUUGGGACUGAGACACGGCCCAAACUCCUACGGGAGGCAGCAGUAGGGAAUCUUCCGCAAUGGACGCAAGUCUGACGGAGCAACGCCGCGUGAGUGAAGAAGGUCUUCGGAUCGUAAAGCGCUGUUGUUAGAGAAGAACAGCGCAUAGAGUAACUGCUAUGCGUGUGACGGGAUCUAACCAGAAAACCACGGCUAACUACGU
RNAcentral lists this ribosomal RNA (501 nucleotides) under uncultured bacterium. RNAcentral describes it as "partial 16S ribosomal RNA". It matches the Rfam family "Bacterial small subunit ribosomal RNA", at positions 28 to 506 of the family's 1533-position model. The record is from RNAcentral.